This 67-nucleotide transfer RNA is filed under the name marine eukaryotic metagenome. It matches the Rfam family "tRNA". Rfam says of the family: Transfer RNA (tRNA) molecules are approximately 80 nucleotides in length. Their secondary structure includes four short double-helical elements and three loops (D, anti-codon, and T loops). The record is from RNAcentral.
GCUGUAGCUCAGUUGGUUAGAGCACUGGUUUGUGGUACCAGGGGUCGCGGGUUCGAGUCCCGUUAGC